GUAAGUGAAUAUGAUUGGGAUUUAUGUUAGUCACAAGGGUAUGGUCAGCUUGGCUAUAUUAUAGGUUAAAAUUUUAAAGAAAAAAAGGAGGAGGAACCGGAGGAGAAGGAAAAGGAAGAAGAUGAAGGGACAGAGAGAAAAUUUUUAGUCCCUGUAACGUAUUUGGGGUACCACGUAGCACUGUUACUUGAUACGUCAACGUCAACCUUUUGUCAUUCGGUAGCAUGGGUCGAUCUAUCCAUUUUUCUUAAUGGAUAAAUGUUUGGUUGAAGUUUAAGUAUGAUUAAGGUGUGCGUCGUUCCUCGAAUAAAAGGUUAUCAAAAAUUUAUUGUCCAAAAAAAUUGAUCUGCCAAAAACUUAUAACGAGAUAGCUGCAACGGUUCUAGUAUCAACUGGGUUCUACCAUGUUUCGCGAAUAGGCGAAAUGAGAGGACAUAUGCACUGUUGAGUGCUUUUGUGGAACAAUGGAGGCCUGAAACACAUACGUUUCAUCUUUCAGUCAGCAAAGUGACUGUGACACUUUAAAACGUGACACAUAUACUUGGCCUCCCGGUUAAUAGAGAGCUCGUGACGGGUAGAACGGAGUAAUGGACAACAGUCAGGAGUUCUUGGUGGAAAACUGCUUAGCUAUUUUUGGUAGGCCGCCCGGUCUGGACAUCACAUAUUGGGGAAGGUAAACCUUGCAGGGGUUUGGCGAUGCAGAGAUAUCGAAUCGUUAGAUACACAGGAGUCGAUCGAGUGGUGGAGUCAUUGGCGCUGGCUAAUGAGAUAUACGCGAAGGUCUACAACGCACUUUAGACAACAACUAGAUGACAUGGGGGUCAAUGAUUUUAUAUGGCGGCCAUAUAUGAGAUUGGUGGUUUCUGACGGCCUAUCCGUAAUUUUGGUAGUGUGCUCCACAAAGUCUCCGUUGUCAUUUGAAUGUAUAGAGUGGCACCCAACAGACCGAGUAAGACGUCAAUUCGGGUUUGAAUAACUUCGACCGGAGGAACCAUUCCAUAUUGGUGAUGCUCAUUGUAGGCGUUGACCGGCACACAGAACCAUGAUCGGAGCAACAGGAACAGGGUUUGGGUUAACAUGUGAAUUUCUGACCCCUUAUAAUACACUGCAGCUAGGGGACGAAAUUGUCAAUUUCCAUCCUCUUCUGAUGUACUAUAAGUGGUACACACAACAGUACAGAAAUCACCUACGGUUGUCAAAUAGAGUUGUGCAUGCAGAAGUCCAAGUGAAUGAACCACAUGCGCAUUUU
This is a non-coding RNA of Arachis ipaensis, 1249 nucleotides long. Lineage: Eukaryota; Viridiplantae; Streptophyta; Magnoliopsida; Fabales; Fabaceae. The record is from RefSeq and is a predicted model, not a curated record.